This is a long non-coding RNA of Eptesicus fuscus (big brown bat), 857 nucleotides long. RefSeq lists it as uncharacterized. The transcript is spliced from 4 exons. NCBI's taxonomy places the organism in Eukaryota, Metazoa, Chordata, Mammalia, Chiroptera, Vespertilionidae. The record is from RefSeq and is a predicted model, not a curated record.
CAUAAAUACCUGCUAGAUGCCUGGAGGAACCUGUUAGAAGACUGUCACGAGGGGUAAUGAAGGUCUGAAGCUGGGAGAGGAGAAAGCGCGAAAAGAAAUAGAAGAUCCAGCUGCCAAGUCACCAACUUAAAUAAUAGCUCCACACACAUGACAUCAUAAUAGUCUCCACAGCAACUGUGAAUGAUAUUACAAACCUGUCUGUGACUAAAUGGGAAAGAUAAGCAAGAAGACAAGAGUAGACAAUCUCCUAAGCAACAAAUGCGCCUUUUCCAUGGAAACACCGCCUUGUGGAAAAGAAAGGAAACACAGAUAAUAGACAAAGGGUUGAGGAGAAAAUCCAAACCCCUUCACAGUCAUCCCAGUUCCUUGUGAAAACGCCCUUCGUUUCUCCAUCAAGGCGAAGUUCCAGAACUGCUCCCCAUUCAUUCUGGAGCUAGCACAUCUGAGAAACUUCAGUGUCUUCUGGGUUACAGUCAUUGGCCCCCAAAAGGACCUAUGCCAUGUCAGUUGAUGGUCAUUGGCACUAAUUCAACACCAACAGGAAUCCCCAGUUUGGGGUGGUGACUGGGGAGACUUCAUUCAGUGUAAUAAGUUCACCUGUGAUACAGCAAAGCUGUGGAGCAGCAGAACUGUGAGACGGCUCACUAGUGUUACAGCUCAAUUACGAUACAGCACACGGGCUAUGAGGUCAAAAACCAACAAAAGAGAGAACAAAUUCAACAAACAUGGAAAUCCUGGGCCAGGAAGUACCACCAUAAUGUUCGGGAUGAAAAGCAAUUUGUGCUGUGGACAGAAUGCAUUUCUCUCCCACUGUAAGCAGAGCCCUUUAAAAGCCUGUCAGGAAAUAAAUAAAACAC